GACAGAGGGUGCAAACGUUGCUCGGAAUUACUGGGCGAAAGGGCGUGUAGGCGGGAAGGCAAGUCGGGCGUGAAAGCCCCAGGCUCAACCUGGGAACUGCACUCGAAACUGCCUUUCUUGAGUGCCGGAGAGGAAAGCGGAAUUCCUGGUGUAGAGGUGAAAUUCGUAGAUAGUCGAGGAGGAACACCAGUGGCGAAGGCGGCUUUCU
RNAcentral lists this ribosomal RNA (208 nucleotides) under uncultured bacterium. RNAcentral describes it as "partial 16S ribosomal RNA". It matches the Rfam family "Bacterial small subunit ribosomal RNA", at positions 524 to 730 of the family's 1533-position model. The record is from RNAcentral.